Molecule: ribosomal RNA, 251 nt
Filed under: uncultured bacterium
Lineage: Bacteria
Description: partial 16S ribosomal RNA
Rfam family: Bacterial small subunit ribosomal RNA
Source: RNAcentral
GCCGCGUACGGGGCGCAGCAGUAGGGAAUUUUCGUCAAUGGGCGCAAGCCUGAAUGAGCGAUGCCGCGUGAGUGAAGAAGGCCUUCGGGUCGUAAAGCUCUGUUGCGGGGGAAAAAAGGCAGCAUCAGGAAAUGGGUGCUGACUGAUGGUGCCCCGCCAGAAAGUCACGGCUAACUACGUGCCAGCAGCCGCGGUAAUACGUAGGUGGCGAGCGCUAUCCGGAAUGAUUGGGCGUAAAGGGUGCGCAGUCG